Molecule: long non-coding RNA, 2722 nt
Filed under: Coffea arabica (coffee)
Lineage: Eukaryota; Viridiplantae; Streptophyta; Magnoliopsida; Gentianales; Rubiaceae
Description: long non-coding RNA (CARA_LNC005342)
Source: RNAcentral
UUUUUUUCUUUUUUUUUUUUUGCGUGACAAGUUUUGAUACUGUACAUGCAAUUUGGAAUUUUUUAGAUGGCUAUUUGGUUUUAAAACUUAUGUUUGAAUGAUUAUUGGGGAUUAGACUUGUUGAUUUAUGCAAAGUAUGAAAAAAAAUGAUUGAGUAUACUAUAUUUUUCUUUCUUAGUUUUGUACAAAAGGGCAAUUUAGGAUGUUUGUUAGAAAAUCUAUCUUGUUGAGCCUACAUUGUUACUGAACAUUAAAAGUAGGGGAGGUAUAUGUAAUUUUUAGAACCUGAGGGGAGCUCUCUAUAUUUGUUAAAAACCUCAAGGGAGGUUUUUGAAUUAUCCGCAAUAAAAAUGGCAUUCAACAUAUAUUUUAAAAAUGGGAGCAAGCUCAUAUAAAAUUGAUAGUGUACAUUGAAAUGGUAGAUAUCAUUGAAUAAAAUUCAAAUGCAAAUAUAAGUGGUAUUAGCUUAUGGGGUAGGGAUGCUAGGAAUAUAAAUUAUUUACUGUUAUAAAUUUGGUAGAAACGAUGACUACAUGAAGAAUAGAGGUAUCGAUCAAGCAAUGCACCCUAAGUCAUUCGUACAACUCUACACCAUAGAAAAAUUUGAAAGUUUGUUUCGAUGUUAUUCUAUAAUUUCAUAGGAUUGCUAAAAGUUUAAAGGAGAAGAAACUUAUUAAAGUUUCUGUUUCAGAAGUAUUUGUGGUUGAAUUUAGUUUUUCUAAUUCUGAAGCUAACCCUCGGGUAUUAGAUGCCAAAAAUGCAUCUCAUAUUUAUGUGAACAUGCAAGGAUGAAAGAAAAGUAGAUGACCGAAAAAUGGUAAACUCUUCAUAUGCGCAGGCAAUGGUAGACAUGGUCAUGAUUCCAGAACUGCCGGUUCUAGUUUAAAAACUAACGAUUCCAAUCCUACUAAAAGAUGGAAUCUGAACUCGCCCUUAUAAGCAUCUUAAAACCCCAAUUUCGGUCCAAUUUUAGUUCCAAUUUUAUUUCGAUUACAGUUUCGAUUUCUUCCAAUUAUAGUUCCGGUUCAUUUAAUUAUGCUUAAACACUUGUUAUAAAAUUGAUUUUAAGAAAAUAUGAUAAUGAAUGUAGAAAAAAUAAGAACAUUAUUGUACUAUCUUGUUCAAGAAAAUUUUAAAAAAUGAUGCAAAUUUUAUGAAAAAAAUAUUAUGAUUGAUUAGAUUAGAUUGGUUUUAGACUUAAAUUAGUUAUGGGGUCUAAACUUACUAAUAGGAAGAGACAAUGGGCUGUUGGAGAAUUGGCGAUGCUGGUGUUAGAUGCUGAUAUUGAUAUUGAAUUUUGAAGUGGUCAAAUAGAUCUAGAUAGCAAUAUUUUUUUAUAAAUAGCUUGAACCGAUUCUAAGUAGUCAGUUCUAGUUCUAGUUCAAGUUUUCCUUUGGUAACAAUUAUGGUUUCAAAUCUAGUUUCCAAAUUUUCUUUUGAUUCCAGUUUGGUUCCAGUUUAAACCUAAACCGUGGCUCUCCCUAGGCAAUGGAGUAAGAGUUGCUCAUUAGCCAUAGGAAUUUACAUACAUUACCUUGUGGACUUACUUUAAGAUUAAGCAAUUGUUACUAUAUUUCAAUAUGGAUUGGAAAUGUCUCAAGAUACUAUUAUAAUCAUUUGAAUUGUUUGUGCGAACAAUUACACUGUCACAUAGAGAAUAAUUUAUCGACUCUAUCACAUAGAGAACAAUUACACAAGUAUAAAAAUCAAUUACACACUGUCACAUAGAGAAUAAUUUGUCGACAAGAUAAAAUAAUUAUCCAUCUGAAUUGUUUAUGCGAAUCAAUCUAGUAAUUUUGAUCAUUCUAUAACCAUCACAUACUUACAGUAAAUGAGAUCUAUUGCUUCAUUUAUAUAUAUAUAUAAAAAAGAGCCAUGAUAUGUGCUAGUGUAUCCCUAUUAACAAUUUUUUCAAAGUCACAAUUCCAUGAGGGGAGAAAAAAGGGUUUGUUAUGAGAUAUGGCCAUAGUUCUUCAGUAUCAGAUGUUUAAGUUGAGUACAUAAAAUGAAGAGGUAGUUUUUUCUUUCAAUACUUUUUGGUGGAGAAGUUGAAGUCCUUUGAUUAGGGUAAGAGCUAAUUAGGAGGAGUUGCAUGAUAUAUUUGAUUGGAACAGUAAUUAACGUGGUUACUGUAAUUGGUCAGAAAUUAAUUAGAAGAGUAAAUACGAAAUUAUAAAAAGUGAUAAUAAAAUUUUACAACAAAUCAAACUCUGCUCCUACUUUAUCAUUGUAGUGAUUUAAAAAAUAAAAAAUAUUAGUAGUAGGCUGGCGGAGUUUACAUCGUUGGUGAUCUAAUGAAUUAAAAUCAACUGAGUUUCAUUACAAAUAAAUUUUUAGACAAUGAAUAAGUGACUCCAGGGUAAUCCAAUGACAAAACAUCCCAUUUCAAGCAUCCUAAACUGCAGUCUGUUUCUUCCAUCGUUAAACUGCAUUAAAUUUCAAUACUCCUGGCAUAAUUUUAAACAAAUUUCCUGUAUCCCUAAAAAGUAGAAAAUCACAAAUCUGCUUUAACAUUACUAGAAGUACAUCAACAGUUAUGAAACACGGAUCCUUGUUUAGUUUACACGGGCGAACCAAUAUACAUUUCCAUGAUAUUACACUCACUCGCACAAGUUUAGCAUUUCAAUCCACAUACUACUGUAAUCCACUUUCUGCUAUAACAGAACAAUAAUAAGAUUAACAGGAUUAGGCAAACAAAACGGACCAGGAAAUAGCCAAAGAC